CUGCACACUCCAAAAUUUUUAAAGAAAAAGGAGAGAGAGAAAAAAAAGUAAAAGAAAAGAAACCCAAAAGGGAAAAUAUAGCUAAGGUGAACUGCAAAACCAUAUUCCUGCUGCUGUCAGUUAUGAUGCACUGAGAAAACUUCAGAGACCUAAACUUUUUCCAGAGAAGAGAAGCUUUACUGGUGUUCCAGCCCUAAGAAACCUUUGUUCAAGAAAACGGCAGAUGCUCUGUUGAAUCCACUGGAGAUUGUUCUGAUACUAAGGACAAGUAUCAACCAUCUUUCCUGUGAAAAAUUCCCUCUCGUACUUUAGUUCUGUGGAUCCAAAAUUUAUAGCAUUCUUCUACCACCACAGGGGCUCAUAUGACAUUAACAGACAAGACACUUUUCAGAAAGACAGGCAACGUGUUGGACCUUCCGGAGCUUCUCAGAAGACAGAGGGUUUUCUUUUGAGGUAAAUUUGAUAGUACAUUUUGAUAGUACGGGAGGCGAUACGGCAUGGUGACAGAAAAGCGCCGGCUUGGUUAGCAGGACCACCUGGCAGGGCUGCAGGCUGUGCCACUUACCAGGCAGGGGACCUUGGGCCAGCUGCUUGGCCUCACUCACCCUGUUUCUCAGCUGCAAUUGGGAUGAACAGACUGCCUGCUUCGGGGUUGCCUAAAACUCACAUUGGUUAAUGAUGUGAAAUGCUUAGCGCAGUGCCUGGCAUAGAGAGAAUUCUCAUUAGAUGAUACCUCAGCUGGGCUUUAGGAGCUACAGAAGAAGCUGCAUCUCCAUGAGCUCAGCGUGUUUCUAGCUUUCCUUUUUGUUUUCUAUUCAACCUUUCACCCAACUCAGCUUCUCAAUCCCUAAAUGACAAAGGUUUGGGAAGGAAGACUUGGACCGAGGCUUGCAUUUGUUUCUGAGAAUUAAACGUUAUGUUUUCUUCA
Molecule: long non-coding RNA, 928 nt
Organism: Homo sapiens (human)
Lineage: Eukaryota; Metazoa; Chordata; Mammalia; Primates; Hominidae
Gene: NUTM2B-AS1
Product: NUTM2B antisense RNA 1
Source: Ensembl